UCACAUGCAGUCGAGCGCACCUUUCGGGGUGAGCGGCGGACGGGUGAGUAACGCGUGGGAACGUACCCUCUUGCCUGGGAUAACAGUUGGAAACGACCGCUAAAGCCGGAUGAGCCCUAUGGGGGAAGGAGAGGAUCGGCCCGCGUCUGAUUAGAUAGUUGGUGGGGUAACGGCCUACCAAGUCUACGAUCAGUACCUGGUUUGAGAGGAUGAUCAGGCACACUGGGACUGAGACACGGCCCAGACUCCUACGGGAGGCAGCAGUGGGGAAUCAUAGACAAUGGGGGAAACCCUGAUCUUGCCAUGCCGCGUGGACGAUGAAGGCCUUAGGGUUGUAAAGUCCUUUCACCGGGGAAGAUAAUGACGGUACCCGGAGAAGAAGCCCCGGCUAACUCCGUGCCAGCAGCCGCGGUAAUACGGAGGGGGCUAGCGUUGUUCGGAAUUACUGGGCGUAAAGCGCGCGUAGGCGGGCUGUUAAGUCGGGGGUGAAAUCCCGGGGCUCAACCCCGGAACUGCCCUCGAUACUGGCAGCCUAGAGGAUGGCAGAGGCCAGUGGAAUGGCGAGUGUAGAGGUGAAAUUCGUAGAUAUUCGCCGGAACACCAGUGGCGAAGGCGACUGGCUGGGCCAUUUCUGACGCUGAGGCGCGAAAGCGUGGGGAGCAAACAGGANUAGAUACCCUGGUAGUCCACGCCGUAAACGAUGAGUGCUAGUCGUUGGGGAGCAUGCUCCGCAGUGACGCAGCUAACGCAUUAAGCACUCCGCCUGGGGAGUACGGCCGCAAGGUUAAAACUCAAAGGAACUGACGGGGGCUCGCACAAGCAGUGGAGCAUGUGGUUUAAUUCGAAGCAACGCGCAAACCUUACCACCUCUUGACAUGG
RNAcentral lists this ribosomal RNA (879 nucleotides) under uncultured Paracoccaceae bacterium. RNAcentral's name for it is "bacterial SSU rRNA". It matches the Rfam family "Bacterial small subunit ribosomal RNA", at positions 51 to 989 of the family's 1533-position model. Lineage: Bacteria; Pseudomonadati; Pseudomonadota; Alphaproteobacteria; Rhodobacterales; Paracoccaceae. The record is from RNAcentral.